Mustela lutreola (European mink) is the source of this 583-nucleotide long non-coding RNA. RefSeq lists it as uncharacterized. The transcript is spliced from 3 exons. Lineage: Eukaryota; Metazoa; Chordata; Mammalia; Carnivora; Mustelidae. The record is from RefSeq and is a predicted model, not a curated record.
GUCUGGCAGAGGCGGACAGGGACCUAUCCCUCUCCCCCUUUUAACUCUAGGCUGGGAGUCUGGGCCGGCUUAGUGGAGGGUCAAGGAUCCAUCUCAGGGGGAUAUACUAGGUGUGAGAAACACUAGCACAGAGCCACCAAAGGUUAGGGGAGGAAGGAAGUGGGACAAAGGUGAGAAGCGAGAGGAGAAGGCUCUAGACCUCAAGAAUCAGAACGUGGUUUUACAAAUUGCAAAGGGCCGUCCCGGGAGCUGCCCAAGGAGGGUCCGCAGCGACUUCUCCUGCUCCGACGGUGCAUGCGGAUGAGGUUGAGGAUGACACUGAAGUUGCAGGCGAGCACCGCGACGAUGAGGAGCAGCAGCACGGUGGCGUAGAGCUGCAGGAAGAUCAACUUAGAGGGCGGGACCCAAAUUAGGAGGAAGUGAAAAGCUCGCCUGGUUGUCCAAGGAACCAAACUUUGCCGCUGAGCUGUCUGUUGCCCUGCUGCUUUGAUUCGGUUGCCAGCAUUUCGCCUUUUCCUAUGUCAACACCAUAACGGAUAACCACUUGUUUAAGCAAGCCAGAAAAGAAAGAAAAAGAAAUGUU